This 210-nucleotide non-coding RNA is filed under the name Bacillus sp. (in: firmicutes). Lineage: Bacteria; Bacillati; Bacillota; Bacilli; Caryophanales; Bacillaceae. The record is from RNAcentral.
AUGAACACGUUGACGGAAUGAAGUAMGAAUCAGUCCGCACUAAGAGAGGUGACCCCUAUGGCUGAGAGGGUUGCUGUGUGAAGGGAUUCGGAAAGCUACUCCUGAGUGCAGGCAAAACCCUGCCGUUCGCCGCGUUAAGGCUUCGAGUGAUGGAUGAAUGAUCAUCCAUAAUUAGGGUGGCACCGCGUGAAUACAACUCUCGUCCCUUCU